This 440-nucleotide ribosomal RNA is filed under the name uncultured bacterium. RNAcentral's name for it is "partial 16S ribosomal RNA". It matches the Rfam family "Bacterial small subunit ribosomal RNA", at positions 338 to 795 of the family's 1533-position model. The record is from RNAcentral.
CCUACGGGCGGCAGCAGUGGGGAAUAUUGCACAAUGGGGGAAACCCUGAUGCAGCGACGCCGCGUGAGUGAAGAAGUAAUUCGUUACGUAAAGCUCUAUCAGCAGGGAAGAAAAUGACGGUACCUGAGUAAGAAGCCCCGGCUAACUACGUGCCAGCAGCCGCGGGAAUACGUAGGGGGCAAGCGUUAUCCGGAUUUACUGGUGGGAAAGGGAGCGGAGACGGUGCGCCAAGUCUGGAGUGAAAUGCAGCAGCUUAACUGCGGAACUGCUUUGGAGACUGGCGAUGUAGAGUACUGGAGGGGCAGACGGAAGUCCGAGUGUAGCGGUGAAAUGCGUAGAUAUUAGGAGGAACACCAGUGGCGAAGGCGGUCUGCUGGACAGCAACUGACGUUGAGGCGCGAAAGCGUGGGGAGCAAACAGGAUUAGAUACCCGGGUAGGC